AAGCAGAUUCAGACUAGAAUAUAGCUGCUGAGUGCUGUGCUGUUGUUUCCCCUGCUAAAAAUAAGGUUUUUUUUUUUUUUUAAAAACUAUACCUGUCUGCUAUACUCCUGAAGUAGCCAAGGGUGCUUGGUCUCAUACAU
Molecule: small nucleolar RNA, 140 nt
Organism: Cynocephalus volans (Philippine flying lemur)
Lineage: Eukaryota; Metazoa; Chordata; Mammalia; Dermoptera; Cynocephalidae
Product: small nucleolar RNA SNORA63
Exons: 1
Source: RefSeq, a predicted model, not a curated record